This 253-nucleotide ribosomal RNA is filed under the name uncultured bacterium. RNAcentral describes it as "partial 16S ribosomal RNA". It matches the Rfam family "Bacterial small subunit ribosomal RNA", at positions 524 to 776 of the family's 1533-position model. The record is from RNAcentral.
UACGGAGGAUCCAAGCGUUAUCCGGAUUUAUUGGGUUUAAAGGGUGCGUAGGUGGUUUUUUAAGUCAGGGGUGAAAGACGGCAGCUUAACUGUCGCAGUGCCUUUGAUACUGAAGAACUUGAAUACACUAGAGGUAGGCGGAAUGUGACAAGUAGCGGUGAAAUGCAUAGAUAUGUCACAGAACACCGAUUGCGAAGGCAGCUCACUAAACUAUUACUGACGCUCAGGGACGAAAGCGUGGGGAGCGAACAGG